Molecule: ribosomal RNA, 427 nt
Filed under: uncultured bacterium
Lineage: Bacteria
Description: partial 16S ribosomal RNA
Rfam family: Bacterial small subunit ribosomal RNA
Source: RNAcentral
UGGGGAAUAUUGCACAAUGGGCGCAAGCCUGAUGCAGCCAUGCCGCGUGUGUGAAGAAGGCCUUCGGGUUGUAAAGCACUUUCAGCGAGGAGGAAGGGUAGUGUGUUAAUAGCACAUUGCAUUGACGUUACUCGCAGAAGAAGCACAGGCUAACUCCGUGCCAGCAGCCGCGGUAAUACGGAGGGUGCAAGCGUUAAUCGGAAUUACUGGGCGUAAAGCGCACGCAGGCGGUUUGUUAAGUCAGAUGUGAAAUCCCCGCGCUUAACGUGGGAACUGCAUUUGAAACUGGCAAGCUAGAGUCUUGUAGAGGGGGGUAGAAUUCCAGGUGUAGCGGUGAAAUGCGUAGAGAUCUGGAGGAAUACCGGUGGCGAAGGCGGCCCCCUGGACAAAGACUGACGCUCAGGUGCGAAAGCGUGGGGAGCAAACA